RNAcentral lists this ribosomal RNA (604 nucleotides) under uncultured Clostridium sp. Its description in RNAcentral is "bacterial SSU rRNA". It matches the Rfam family "Bacterial small subunit ribosomal RNA", at positions 91 to 714 of the family's 1533-position model. The record is from RNAcentral. Lineage: Bacteria; Bacillati; Bacillota; Clostridia; Eubacteriales; Clostridiaceae.
AAGAGCGGCGGACGGGUGAGUAACGCGUGGGUAACCUGCCCUGUACACACGGAUAACAUACCGAAAGGUAUGCUAAUACGAGAUAAUAUGCUUUUAUCGCAUGGUAGAAGUAUCAAAGCUUUUGCGGUACAGGAUGGACCCGCGUCUGAUUAGCUAGUUGGUAAGGUAACGGCUUACCAAGGCGACGAUCAGUAGCCGACCUGAGAGGGUGAUCGGCCGCAUUGGAACUGAGACACGGUCCAAACUCCUACGGGAGGCAGCAGUGGGGAAUAUUGCACAAUGGGCGAAAGCCUGAUGCAGCAACGCCGCGUGAGCGAUGAAGGCCUUCGGGUCGUAAAGCUCUGUCCUCAAGGAAGAUAAUGACGGUACUUGAGGAGGAAGCCCCGGCUAACUACGUGCCAGCAGCCGCGGUAAUACGUAGGGGGCUAGCGUUAUCCGGAAUUACUGGGCGUAAAGGGUGCGUAGGUGGUUUCUUAAGUCAGAGGUGAAAGGCUACGGCUCAACCGUAGUAAGCCUUUGAAACUGGGAAACUUGAGUGCAGGAGAGGAGAGUGGAAUUCCUAGUGUAGCGGUGAAAUGCGUAGAUAUUAGGAGGAACACCAGUU